This 259-nucleotide ribosomal RNA is filed under the name uncultured bacterium. RNAcentral describes it as "partial 16S ribosomal RNA". It matches the Rfam family "Bacterial small subunit ribosomal RNA", at positions 333 to 609 of the family's 1533-position model. The record is from RNAcentral.
ACUUUCCUACGGGAGGCAGCAGUGGGGAAUAUUGCACAAUGGGGGGAACCCUGAUGCAGCGAUGCCGCGUGGAGGAAGAAGGUUUUCGGAUUAUAAACUCCUUUUAUCAGGGACGAUAAUGACGGUACCUGAAGAAAAAGCUCCGGCUAACUACGUGCCAGCAGCCGCGGUAAUACGUAGGGAGCGAGCGUUGUACGGAAUUACUGGGUGUAAAGGGAGCGUAGGCGGGACGGCAAGUCAGAUUUGAAAACUGAGGGCU